CUCCUAAACCAUGUCACUGGCGCCACCUCUUAUGAGGACCUAAGGACAGUUAAUGGUGAGAUCCUACCAACCUUUCGUGAAGCUGCCGAGAGAAGGGGAUUGAUCGAAGGAGACAACACACUGGAUGAGUCCCUCACUGAAUCCACAUUAUAUGAGAUGCCAUCAUCUCUACGGAGGCUCUUUGCAACGAUACUGGUUUUUUGUGAGCCAAGCGAUGUGCGCGGACUCUGGGAAAAGCACCUGGAUGCAAUGUCAGAAGACUAUCGUCGUAGCAAUCCAUCCAAAGUUGCAGUUGAGCAAUUGGUUCUAAUAGAUAUCAGGAAUAUGCUACAAUCAAUG
Molecule: ribosomal RNA, 339 nt
Filed under: Triticum aestivum (bread wheat)
Lineage: Eukaryota; Viridiplantae; Streptophyta; Magnoliopsida; Poales; Poaceae
Description: partial small subunit ribosomal RNA
Source: RNAcentral